RNAcentral lists this ribosomal RNA (253 nucleotides) under uncultured bacterium. Its description in RNAcentral is "partial 16S ribosomal RNA". It matches the Rfam family "Bacterial small subunit ribosomal RNA", at positions 524 to 776 of the family's 1533-position model. The record is from RNAcentral.
UACGUAGGGGGCAAGCGUUGUCCGGAAUCAUUGGGCGGAAAGAGCGCGUAGGCGGCCCUGUAAGUCCGCUGUGAAAGUCAAGGGCUCAACCCUUGGAUGCCGGUGGAUACUGCAGGGCUAGAGUCCGGAAGAGGCGAGUGGAAUUCCUGGUGUAGCGGUGAAAUGCGCAGAUAUCAGGAGGGACACCGAUGGCGAAGGCAGCUCGCUGGGACGGUACUGACGCUGAGGCGCGAAAGCGUGGGGAGCAAACAGG